GUAAUCAAAAGCUUAUUAAUUGUAAGCCAGCAUGAAAGAAUCCACCUAGGUUAUCUUUUCUUUCUUUAAAAAUGAAUUUAAAAGAAAUUAAAAAAUAAUUCUUUUUUUAUUAGACGAGAAGACCCUAAAAACUUUUUAAUUACUUAAUUAUUUGGGGAAAAUAAAAAAAUUUGAUCUUUAUAUAAAUUGUUGAAAGAACUAAAAAAUAAGUUACUUUAGGGAUAACAGAGCAAUUUCCAAUGAAAGAACUAAUUGUUUUGGGAUAUUGCGACCUCGAUGUUGGAUUCUUGAAUCUUUCAGCUGCAGUAAGUUGAGAAGAAUAGACUGUUCGUUUUUUAAACCAAGACGUGAUCU
Molecule: ribosomal RNA, 354 nt
Filed under: Aceria sp. A MC-2008
Lineage: Eukaryota; Metazoa; Arthropoda; Arachnida; Trombidiformes; Eriophyidae
Description: partial 16S ribosomal RNA
Rfam family: Bacterial large subunit ribosomal RNA (bases 113-354)
Source: RNAcentral